This is a long non-coding RNA of Cyprinodon tularosa, 260 nucleotides long. RefSeq lists it as uncharacterized. Lineage: Eukaryota; Metazoa; Chordata; Actinopteri; Cyprinodontiformes; Cyprinodontidae. The transcript is spliced from 2 exons. The record is from RefSeq and is a predicted model, not a curated record.
UGCCCACGUAAGCCAAACCUGAAGAUCUCAGUCUGGAUUCCUCCAUCAGCUCUUGGGAAAGAGCUAGGAAACAAGAACCCAAGUCUGAAACUCUCUGGCUCGAAGCUAGACGCUGCUGCUGCUGAGCUCUCUGCUACCUCCACAGACUCUGGACCCAACCGGUUCCUCCUCUCACGGAUCUGUUAAAACCUCCUCAAGAUAAUAUUGAAACCAGUCCCGGACCUGUACCAGAACCAGAUCUUGAAUCAUUCUGUGUAUUC